This 630-nucleotide ribosomal RNA is filed under the name Triticum aestivum (bread wheat). Its description in RNAcentral is "partial small subunit ribosomal RNA". The record is from RNAcentral. Lineage: Eukaryota; Viridiplantae; Streptophyta; Magnoliopsida; Poales; Poaceae.
AUGGAUUCCUUCUCCAAACAGUACAAGAGCUACUCCCACUCUGCCUCCGACCUCCCUCCUCCCCCACAUGGCGAGUGUACUGCUCCCUACAACGCCCAUACCAUUCUUUCUCCCCUGGAUGCAUCUGGUCUCUCUUCAAUUACCGGUCAGCACCAAUGCUGCGAACAAAAAAAGGGCCCUGUGAUAGGGCAUCCAUCUCUUUUCAUCAAAGUCGCCGUCGUCCAUCUGCGUCGAGGCCACCCUGCCAGUUUUCAGAAAUCCUUCAGGAAAAAAAGAAAAAGAAAAAUGGAGCAGGAGUCAGAGGCCUCAAGCCCUCUCUCCACUUCGUGGCUUCUUGUUCUCAAAGCACAAGCUGCUCUUGCUACUAUUAGUAAACUACUUCUGCUCACUAUAAUGGCUGAGGGGCGUUGCCCAACUACGUGGAUGCUCGCCUGCUCACCGAGCGUCGCUGUAGUCCACCCCGAAGCCGUCAGCAGGAGGAGGUUGCACCAGUCCCGCCUCUCCUUCGUCCAGUGCUCCAAGAGGCCAGGGCAGAAAAAUCGGUCAUCUUCUGAUGAGCCCUGCCCCAACAGGAACCUCUCUCUACCUCUCUCAGCUACUAAUGGACACUAUAGUGUGAAGUUGAUGUAG